Molecule: ribosomal RNA, 253 nt
Filed under: uncultured bacterium
Lineage: Bacteria
Description: partial 16S ribosomal RNA
Rfam family: Bacterial small subunit ribosomal RNA
Source: RNAcentral
UACGGGGGGAGCAAGCGUUGUUCGGAUUUACUGGGCGUAAAGGGCGCGUAGGCGGCUUUGUAAGUUAGAGGUGAAAGCCCGGGGCUCAACUCCGGAACUGCCUUUAAGACUGCAUCGCUUGAAUCCGGGAGAGGUGAGUGGAAUUCCGAGUGUAGAGGUGAAAUUCGUAGAUAUUCGGAAGAACACCAGUGGCGAAGGCGGCUCACUGGACCGGUAUUGACGCUGAGGUGCGAAAGCGUGGGGAGCAAACAGG